This 428-nucleotide ribosomal RNA is filed under the name uncultured bacterium. RNAcentral describes it as "bacterial SSU rRNA". It matches the Rfam family "Bacterial small subunit ribosomal RNA", at positions 64 to 507 of the family's 1533-position model. The record is from RNAcentral.
GAGCGAGAAAAGGGUAGCAAUACCUGAGUACAGCGGCGCACGGGUGAGUAACACGUGGGUAAUCUGCCCUAGAGUGGGGAAUAACACCGGGAAACCGGUGCUAAUACCGCAUACGAUCACGAUGUCUUCGGAUGUUGUGAUGAAAGGAGCAAUUCGCUCUUGGAGGAGCCCGCGGCUGAUUAGCUAGUUGGUGAGGUAAUGGCUCACCAAGGCAACGAUCAGUAGCCGGUCUGAGAGGACGGUCGGCCACACUGGAACUGAGACACGGUCCAGACUCCUACGGGAGGCAGCAGUGGGGAAUAUUGGACAAUGGGCGCAAGCCUGAUCCAGCCAUGCCGCGUGGGUGAUGAAGGCCCUAGGGUUGUAAAGCCCUUUCGGCGGGGAAGAUAAUGACGGUACCCGCAGAAGAAGCCCCGGCUAACUUCGUG